RNAcentral lists this ribosomal RNA (497 nucleotides) under uncultured bacterium. RNAcentral's name for it is "partial 16S ribosomal RNA". It matches the Rfam family "Bacterial small subunit ribosomal RNA", at positions 28 to 507 of the family's 1533-position model. The record is from RNAcentral.
GAUGAACGCUGGCGGCGUGCCUAAUACAUGCAAGUCGAGCGAACGGACGAGAAUCUUUCUUCUCUGAUGUUAGCGGCGGACGGGUGAGUAACACGUGGAUAACCUACCUAUAAGACUUGGAUAACUUCGGGAAACCGGAGCUAAUACCGUAUAAUAUUUUGAACCGCAUUGUUCAAAAGUGAAAGACGGUCUGGCUGUCACUUAUAGAUGUAUCCGCGCUGCAUUAGCUAGUUGGUAAGGUAACGGCUUACCAAGGCAACGAUGCAUAGCCGAACUGAGAGGGUGAUCGGCGACACGGGAGCUGAGACACGGUCCAGACUCCUACGGGAGGCAGCAGUAGGGUAUCUUACGCAAUGGGCGAAAGCAUGACGGAGCAACGCCGCGUGAGUGAUGAAGGUCUUCGGAUAGUAAAACUCUGUUAUUAGGGAAGAACAUAUGUGUAAGGAACUGUGCACAUAUUGACGGUACCUAAUCAGAAAGCAACGGCUAACUACGUG